CCUACGGGUGGCAGCAGUGGGGAAUCUUGCGCAAUGGGCGAAAGCCUGACGCAGCGACGCCGCGUGGGUGACGAAGGCCUUCGGGUUGUAAAGCCCUGUGGGGAGAGACGAACCGGCCCGUUGCUAACAUCGGCGGGUCUUGACGGUAUCUCCUUAGCAAGCAUCGGCUAACUCUGUGCCAGCAGCCGCGGUAAUACAGAGGAUGCAAACGUUGCUCGGAAUUACUGGGCGUAAAGCGCGCGCAGGUGGUCUUGCAAGUCGGGCGUGAAAUCCCGGGGCUCAACCUCGGAAGUGCGCUCGAUACUGCUCGACUCGAGUACUGGAGAGGGUCGCGGAAUUCCCGGUGUAGAGGUGAAAUUCGUAGAUAUCGGGAGGAACACCAGUGGCGAAGGCGGCGACCUGGACAGAUACUGACACUGAGGCGCGAAAGCGUGGGAAGCAAACAGGAUUAGAUACCCUAGUAGUC
This 466-nucleotide ribosomal RNA is filed under the name uncultured delta proteobacterium. RNAcentral describes it as "bacterial SSU rRNA". It matches the Rfam family "Bacterial small subunit ribosomal RNA", at positions 338 to 795 of the family's 1533-position model. The record is from RNAcentral. Lineage: Bacteria; Deltaproteobacteria.